GCUACCACGCAAGUCGAGCGAAGAAGCUCCUUCGGGAGUGGAUUAGCGGCGGACGGGUGAGUAACACGUGGGCAACCUGGCUCAAAGAGGGGGAUAGCCUCCCGAAAGGGAGAUUAAUACCGCAUAAGAGGUAAAUAUCACAUGGUAAAUACCUUAAAGGAGAAAUUCGCUUUGAGAUGGGCCCGCGUCGCAUUAGCUAGUUGGCGGGAUAACAGCCCACCAAGGCGACGAUGCGUAGCCGACCUGAGAGGGUGAACGGCCACAUUGGAACUGAGAGACGGUCCAGACUCCUACGGGAGGCAGCAGUGGGGAAUAUUGCACAAUGGGGGAAACCCUGAUGCAGCAACGCCGCGUGAGUGAAGAAGGUUUUCGGAUCGUAAAGCUCUGUCAUCCGGGACGAUAAUGACGGUACCGGAAGAGGAAGCCACGGCUAACUACGUGCCAGCAGCCGCGGUAAUACGUAGGUGGCGAGCGUUGUCCGGAAUUACUGGGCGUAAAGGGUGUGCAGGCGGAUAUUUAAGUGAGAUGUGAAAGACCCGGGCUUAACCCGGGCAGUGCAUUUCAAACUGGAUAUCUAGAGUGCAGGAGAGGAGAAUGGAAUUCCUAGUGUAGCGGUGAAAUGCGUAGAGAUUAGGAAGAACACCAGUGGCGAAGGCGAUUCUCUGGACUGUAACUGACGCUGAGGCACGAAAGCGUGGGUAGCAAACAGGAUUAGAUACCCUGGUAGUCCACGCCGUA
RNAcentral lists this ribosomal RNA (738 nucleotides) under uncultured bacterium. Its description in RNAcentral is "bacterial SSU rRNA". It matches the Rfam family "Bacterial small subunit ribosomal RNA", at positions 46 to 804 of the family's 1533-position model. The record is from RNAcentral.